GUGGACAGGAGGAGAGAUUUAGAAAGACAAACAGCCACCUGCCCCUCUGCUUACAGAGCAGCUUAAUGCCUGUAUUCCUAUAUGAGCUGAUUUUAAGAAUGUAUAAAUUGCGACACGUUACUGAAGGCGGAUAACUGGAUGACUUCCCUGACGCUUCAAACACAGGCCCACCUCUAGAAGAAGCCUCAAAUUAUCAAUGAUCUGACCACUACUGGCAAUAACUGAGCCUCUACAUAUUGUGAUUAAAUCUGACACUUCUUUUGGCUGUAGUAAGAGACAUUCUGCUUGGGGACAUCUUUUCUCCUGGAAGUGCACCAAGUUCUAUGUUUCAAGAAGGGAUGUUAAUUACUGCUUAAAAUUAACACUAUGAGAGACUGCAAGGAAGAUGACUGAUGCAACUUUGCAAGACAUCUAGAAACCCUCAACUGUUUGUCACCAUCACAAUAUUCAGAUUGAGGGUGGGCUGCCUGGAGCUUUCUGAGACUCUUUUCUACCGAUGAUUGGCUGCCUUGAAAUGAGAAAGGCAAGGAUGGACAAGAUGGGGAAAUGAGGAAUUUGUCAAGCCCAUGGGAGAUCUACAGUUCAGCCAAGUCCUGUAAGACCAGCUCCAAGACCAGUUUUCUCUUGUGGAGUUGGUGAUGCCAAGAACAGGUGCUCAUAAAAUGAAGAAAUUUCUGCCCUGAUGGAACUGGAGCUUGUGUAGAAAUGUCUGAGCUGCUCAGAGAGAUGGGUACCACUGUGACGGCAGCCUCAGCACAGCAGGCCAAAGAGAGGUGACCAAACCCUCCUGGAAACUGGUAAAUACAUCCAAGACAGGUCCAUGCUGCCAUCAUUAUCUGAUUGGCAUUGCUAGAAAUGAAUAGUUGAAAGCCAGCUCAGACAUAUCUCUGUGACACAGUGUGAACAUCCUCCUAACAGCAAGGAGCAAACCCCAAAGCUGGGUGUGCAGGGCCUCUUUGGCUCCUAGAGGGGCUGUUUUCCAUGUUUGGAAAACAUUGUUUUCCAUGAAGAGUUUAUGAGAAUCUGUUCUUUCUCUAUGCUAACCUAAGGUGCCUCUUCUAUAUUUUCUUAGGAUUGAGAAAUCCCUAUUUGCAGUCCUGGCGAAGUUCUAAUACCAAAUCUUUUGAUAUAGAUGAGGAUUAAUUCAUACUGCACUGCAGCUGAACUUGAUCAAAUAAUUUUUGAAA
Cyanistes caeruleus (blue tit) is the source of this 1187-nucleotide non-coding RNA. NCBI's taxonomy places the organism in Eukaryota, Metazoa, Chordata, Aves, Passeriformes, Paridae. The record is from RefSeq and is a predicted model, not a curated record.